Molecule: ribosomal RNA, 469 nt
Filed under: uncultured bacterium
Lineage: Bacteria
Description: partial 16S ribosomal RNA
Rfam family: Bacterial small subunit ribosomal RNA
Source: RNAcentral
GACGAACGCUGGCGGCGUGCUUAACACAUGCAAGUCGAACGGAAAGGCCCUGCUUUUGUGGGGUGCUCGAGUGGCGAACGGGUGAGUAACACGUGAGUAACCUGCCCUUGACUUUGGGAUAACUUCAGGAAACUGGGGCUAAUACCGGAUAGGAGCUCCUGCUGCAUGGUGGGGGUUGGAAAGUUUCGGCGGUUGGGGAUGGACUCGCGGCUUAUCAGCUUGUUGGUGGGGUAGUGGCUUACCAAGGCUUCGACGGGUAGCCGGCCUGAGAGGGUGACCGGCCACAUUGGGACUGAGAUACGGCCCAGACUCCUACGGGAGGCAGCAGUGGGGAAUAUUGCACAAUGGGUGGAAGCCUGAUGCAGCAACGCCGUGUGCGGGAUGACGGCCUUCGGGUUGUAAACCGCUUUCGCUCAUGACGAAGCUUUGUGUGACGGUAGUGUGUAAAGAAGCACCGGCUAACUACGUG